UACAGAGGGUGCGAGCGUUAAUCGGAAUUACUGGGCGUAAAGCGUGCGUAGACGGUUAUGUAAGUCGGGUGUGAAAGCCCCGGGCUCAACCUGGGAAUUGCAUUUGAGACUGCAUAGCUAGGGUGCGGAAGAGGGAAGCGGAAUUUCCGGUGUAGCGGUGAAAUGCGUAGAUAUCGGAAGGAACAUCAGUGGCGAAAGCGGCUUCCUGGUCCAGCACCGACGUUCAGGCACGAAAGCGUGGGGAGCAAACAGG
RNAcentral lists this ribosomal RNA (253 nucleotides) under uncultured bacterium. Its description in RNAcentral is "partial 16S ribosomal RNA". It matches the Rfam family "Bacterial small subunit ribosomal RNA", at positions 524 to 776 of the family's 1533-position model. The record is from RNAcentral.